Molecule: ribosomal RNA, 301 nt
Filed under: uncultured bacterium
Lineage: Bacteria
Description: partial 16S ribosomal RNA
Rfam family: Bacterial small subunit ribosomal RNA
Source: RNAcentral
CAGCAGCCGCGGUAAUACGUAGGUGGCAAGCGUUGUCCGGAAUUAUUGGGCGUAAAGGGCUCGCAGGCGGUUUCUUAAGUCUGAUGUGAAAGCCCCCGGCUCAACCGGGGAGGGUCAUUGGAAACUGGGAAACUUGAGUGCAGAAGAGGAGAGUGGAAUUCCACGUGUAGCGGUGAAAUGCGUAGAGAUGUGGAGGAACACCAGUGGCGAAGGCGACUCUCUGGUCUGUAACUUACGCUGAGGAGCGAAAGCGUGGGGAGCGAACAGGAUUAGAUACCCCUGUAGUCCCUGUCUCUUAUAC